GACGAACGCUGGCGGCGUGCCUAAUACAUGCAAGUAGAACGCUGAAGGAGGAGCUUGCUUCUCUGGAUGAGUUGCGAACGGGUGAGUAACGCGUAGGUAACCUGCCUGGUAGCGGGGGAUAACUAUUGGAAACGAUAGCUAAUACCGCAUAAUAGUAGAUGUUGCAUGACAUUUGCUUAAAAGGUGCAAUUGCAUCACUACCAGAUGGACCUGCGUUGUAUUAGCUAGUUGGUGGGGUAACGGCUCACCAAGGCGACGAUACAUAGCCGACCUGAGAGGGGGAUCGGCCACACUGGGACUGAGACACGGCCCAGACUCCUACGGGAGGCAGCAGUAGGGAAUCUUCGGCAAUGGACGGAAGUCUGACCGAGCAACGCCGCGUGAGGGAAGAAGGUUUUCGGAUCGUAAAGCUCUGUUGUAAGAGAAGAACGAGUGUGAGAGUGGAAAGUUCACACUGUGACGGUAUCUGACCAGAAAGGGACGGCUAACUACGUG
Molecule: ribosomal RNA, 495 nt
Filed under: uncultured bacterium
Lineage: Bacteria
Description: partial 16S ribosomal RNA
Rfam family: Bacterial small subunit ribosomal RNA
Source: RNAcentral